This 426-nucleotide ribosomal RNA is filed under the name uncultured prokaryote. Its description in RNAcentral is "bacterial SSU rRNA". It matches the Rfam family "Bacterial small subunit ribosomal RNA", at positions 355 to 796 of the family's 1533-position model. The record is from RNAcentral.
UGGGGAAUUUUCCGCAAUGGGGGCAACCCUGACGGAGCAACGCCGCGUGCGGGAGGAAGGCCUUUGGGUUGUAAACCGCUUUUCUCAGGGAAGAAGCUCUGACGGUACUUGAGGAAUCAGCAUCGGCUAACUCCGUGCCAGCAGCCGCGGUAAUACGGAGGAUGCAAGCGUUAUCCGGAAUGAUUGGGCGUAAAGCGUCUGCAGGUGGCUAUGCAAGUCUGCUGUUAAAGAGUGGAGCUCAACUCCAUAAGGGCAGUGGAAACUGCGUAACUAGAGUACGUUCGGGGUAGAGGGAAUUCCUGGUGUAGCGGUGAAAUGCGUAGAUAUCAGGAAGAACACCGGUGGCGAAAGCGCUCUACUAGGCCGUAACUGACACUGAGAGACGAAAGCUAAGGGAGCGAAUGGGAUUAGAUACCCCCGUAGUCC